This 29-nucleotide non-coding RNA is filed under the name Homo sapiens (human). The record is from RNAcentral. Lineage: Eukaryota; Metazoa; Chordata; Mammalia; Primates; Hominidae.
GCACUUAAAGUGGCGGUGUUUGUCCGAGA